GACGAACGCUGGCGGCGUGCUUAACACAUGCAAGUCGAACGGUGAUAGGGAGCUUGCUCCCUGGAUCAGUGGCGAACGGGUGAGUAACACGUGGGCAACCUGCCCCAGACUUCGGGAUAACGCUUCGAAAGGAGUGCUAAUACCGGAUACGAACUCCUUGGGCAUCCUUGGGGUUGGAAAGUUUUUCGGUCUGGGAUGGGCCCGCGGCCUAUCAGCUUGUUGGUGAGGUAACGGCUCACCAAGGCGACGACGGGUAGCCGGCCUGAGAGGACGACCGGCGACAAUGGGACUGAGACACGGCCGAGACUCCUACGGGAGGCAGCAGUGGGGAAUAUUGCGCAAUGGGCGAAAGCCUGACGCAGCAACGCCGCGUGAGGGAUGACGGCCUUCGGGUUGUAAACCUCUUUCAGCAGGGAAGAAGCGAAAGUGACGGUACCUGCAGAAGAAGCACCGGCUAACUACGUGCCAGCCGCCGCCGUAA
This 481-nucleotide ribosomal RNA is filed under the name uncultured bacterium. RNAcentral's name for it is "partial 16S ribosomal RNA". It matches the Rfam family "Bacterial small subunit ribosomal RNA", at positions 28 to 523 of the family's 1533-position model. The record is from RNAcentral.